Molecule: long non-coding RNA, 369 nt
Organism: Trichomycterus rosablanca
Lineage: Eukaryota; Metazoa; Chordata; Actinopteri; Siluriformes; Trichomycteridae
Exons: 3
Source: RefSeq, a predicted model, not a curated record
UAGUCAGCUCAGGCUCAACCAGCAGACCAGUCUAAGCUCAAACAGUAAAGGAUCUCAGGCUUGACAUCUGCAGCUUCCAUCAUUCCUUCAGCAUUGCUGACACUUUUGUCACUGAUUAGAUUCUGGGAAACAAAAAGACAGACAAAAUGAGACUGGGAAAAUAAGAGAAAUCUGAAAGCUGAGAAGCAUAUGCAGAUUGCCAGUAAUGGGUUUGAGCUGACUGGACCUCUGUUUUUUUCCACUGGCUGGACUGGGGAAAGACGAAGACUCACCAUAUGCAAGCAAUGCUCAGCCAUCAGGAAAUAUUACUUUGAACCAGACUGAGUUUUGAAGGUUUACAUUUCAGUGUAUUCUACAUAAGAUGACGGU